Molecule: unclassified non-coding RNA, 698 nt
Filed under: Hevea brasiliensis (rubber tree)
Lineage: Eukaryota; Viridiplantae; Streptophyta; Magnoliopsida; Malpighiales; Euphorbiaceae
Source: RNAcentral
UCAAGUGAUACCCUUUCUCACAAGCAUCACAAACAAGAACAUUAUCAACCUCAUUCACUGUUGAUUUGCACAUUUGGCAAGUCAAAGCCUUACUAAUAUAAUCGCGAGAUGGCGGAGUCCAAGCAGGCCGCUCAGAGAGGCGCGGUUGAAUAAACUUCUGAACGAUCUUGCCAAUUUCAGCAUGAGUGCUGCUCAGAGGAGGAGACUUGACAAAGCUUGCCCCUUGUAAGUGUGGGAGUGUAGUUGGUAGAUUUCCAGCUGUGGUCUGAGUUAUAAAUGGCCUAUUUGCUGUCAUUUGCGAUUUGACAUCAGCUCCUCCCUCAACUUUGUUACCUGUCUGUGAUGUCACCCUGGUAUCUGGUCCACGUUUAGCUGCUGCAACUGAUGCAGGUUGCACCGACCAGGUUGGAGUUCUUAUAGCAGAAUGAUCUCCAGAAGUUGCUUGAACUUGCAACACAUGGGAAGAUCCAUUUGGUCGUCCAUCCAUUCUGAAACUUGGCCUGUCAACUCUGGGCAAUCCAACUAGAGAAGAAUCCCUUACUGGAUUCCCAGAGACCACUCCACUAGAAAUUACUGGUCUGACCUCACUGGUAGGCAGCUGAUAAGGUAAUGGUGCAGAACUUGCCGGAGUUCCAUGAACCAAAGGCGAAGCAGAUUGCAAGCUUCCUGAGGAAUUUACCGCAUGAUUUGCUUUAUUG